GGGCCUCUAGCUCAAUUGGCAGAGCAGCGGACUUUUAAUCCGCGGGUUCCGGGUUCGAUCCCCGGGGGGCCCA
RNAcentral lists this transfer RNA (73 nucleotides) under Pseudonocardia thermophila. It matches the Rfam family "tRNA". Rfam says of the family: Transfer RNA (tRNA) molecules are approximately 80 nucleotides in length. Their secondary structure includes four short double-helical elements and three loops (D, anti-codon, and T loops). The record is from Rfam by way of RNAcentral. Lineage: Bacteria; Bacillati; Actinomycetota; Actinomycetes; Pseudonocardiales; Pseudonocardiaceae. RNAcentral also lists the same sequence under 9 other names.